RNAcentral lists this unclassified non-coding RNA (417 nucleotides) under soil metagenome. RNAcentral's name for it is "partial contains 5.8S ribosomal RNA, internal transcribed spacer 2, and large subunit ribosomal RNA". The stretch from base 1 to 120 matches the Rfam family "5.8S ribosomal RNA", at positions 35 to 154 of the family's 154-position model. The record is from RNAcentral.
GAUGAAGAACGUAGCGAAAUGCGAUAAGUAAUGUGAAUUGCAGAAUUCAGUGAAUCAUCGAAUCUUUGAACACACCUUGCGCUCCUUGGUAUUCCUUGGAGCAUGCCUGUUUGAGUAUCAUGAGCAAAUCUCAAAGUCGAUCCUUUUGUUAAUUCAAUUGGUUUUGCUUUGGACUUGGAGGUCUUGCAGAUUUCACCAUCUGCUCCUCUUAAAUGUAUUAGCUGGAUCUCAGUAUUUAUGCUUGGUUCCACUCGGCGUGAUAAGUAUCACUCGCUGAGGACACUGGUAAAAAGGUGGCCAGGAAAAUACUGAUUGAACCGCUUCUAACGGUCUAUUAACUUAGACAAUUACCCUUAAGUUUGAUCUCAAAUCAGGUAGGACUACCCGCUGAACUUAAGCAUAUCAAUAAGCGGAGGA